UAUGGUGUGUGCCAGCAGCCGCGGUAAAACGUAGGUCACAAGCGUUGUCCGGAAUUACUGGGUGUAAAGGGAGCGCAGGCGGGAAGACAAGUUGGAAGUGAAAUCUAUGGGCUCAACCCAUAAACUGCUUUCAAGACUGUUUUUCUUGAGUAGUGCAGAGGUAGGCGGAAUUCCCGGUGUAGCGGUGGAAUGCGUAGAUAUCGGGAGGAACACCAGUGGCGAAGGCGGCCUACUGGGCACCAACUGACGCUGAGGCUCGAAAGUGUGGGUAGCAAACAGG
Molecule: ribosomal RNA, 280 nt
Filed under: Faecalibacterium prausnitzii
Lineage: Bacteria; Bacillati; Bacillota; Clostridia; Eubacteriales; Oscillospiraceae
Description: partial 16S ribosomal RNA
Rfam family: Bacterial small subunit ribosomal RNA
Source: RNAcentral